Molecule: unclassified non-coding RNA, 576 nt
Filed under: Hevea brasiliensis (rubber tree)
Lineage: Eukaryota; Viridiplantae; Streptophyta; Magnoliopsida; Malpighiales; Euphorbiaceae
Source: RNAcentral
AUAAAAAAAAAAAAAAAUUGGAUUCCUUUUGUAUGGAACAAGAAAUGGUAUCUUAUUCUAGGAAAAGCAAUCUAUUUCCAUUUCCAGAACAAACCAAACACCAUCCUUCAUGUUUAGUCUCUUCUUAUAGCUGAAAUUCAGUAUUGACCAUGAAAUUAAUGAAUGUAAGCUGUCCAAAAGUGAUCUAGUAGGUAUUAAUUUUCACUCUGAUUUUUGUGUAUGGUUGAGCUGCUUGAGCAUCUUGAGCAAGACUUGAGGUUUAGAAUUUUUCAUUUUAACCUAUUUAGAAGUUCCAUUGAGGCAAAAUCUUAAGUCAAUAGCAUUUGGGAAUUUAGUGGUUGCAAAAGUUUCUAAAAGGUUUAAAUGGCUAAAUAUUGUUUUUAUUUUUCUUCCUUUUGUUUCUAUCAAGUGAUUAAUGUAGUGUAGGCUUGAUUGUCAAGUGGAACCUAUUGUCUUUUGUUUUAUUAGAACAUAGAUUUAAAUUGCAGUAGUGAUUUGAAUGAUGAUCACAAUUGUAUAAUUAACCAUUUAUUUGUUCUGCUGAUGGAAUUGCAGCGCUUCAUAUGGCUGCAGCGA